CUGUGAAUAUUCUGGCUCUUCGGAGUUGAUAAUAAUCAAGCAGGCUAAACAUAAGCUACAUAAAAACCACGCCUGGGCCUGGAGGCCUAGUUCUUAGCCUGGGUUUGAUUUAAUACAUGCUGCUGAUAAAC
Molecule: small nucleolar RNA, 131 nt
Organism: Otolemur garnettii (small-eared galago)
Lineage: Eukaryota; Metazoa; Chordata; Mammalia; Primates; Galagidae
Gene: SNORA72
Rfam family: Small nucleolar RNA SNORA72
About the family: U72 is a member of the H/ACA class of snoRNAs. The snoRNA gene is located in intron 4 of the ribosomal L30 protein gene in human, mouse and chicken.
Source: Ensembl